RNAcentral lists this transfer RNA (71 nucleotides) under Cornufer vitiensis (Fiji tree frog). RNAcentral describes it as "Platymantis vitiensis (Fiji tree frog) tRNA-Gln". It matches the Rfam family "tRNA". Rfam says of the family: Transfer RNA (tRNA) molecules are approximately 80 nucleotides in length. Their secondary structure includes four short double-helical elements and three loops (D, anti-codon, and T loops). Further hydrogen bonds mediate the characteristic L-shaped molecular structure. tRNAs have two regions of fundamental functional importance: the anti-codon, which is responsible for specific mRNA codon recognition, and the 3' end, to which the tRNAs corresponding amino acid is attached (by aminoacyl-tRNA synthetases). tRNAs cope with the degeneracy of the genetic code in two manners: having more than one tRNA (with a specific anti-codon) for a particular amino acid; and 'wobble' base-pairing, i.e. permitting non-standard base-pairing at the 3rd anti-codon position. Lineage: Eukaryota; Metazoa; Chordata; Amphibia; Anura; Ceratobatrachidae. The record is from RNAcentral.
UAAGAAGUAAUAUAAUGGAAGUAUUAGGGGUUUUGAUCUCCUGAGUGUAGGUUCGAGUCCUAUUUUUUUAA